Osmia bicornis bicornis is the source of this 463-nucleotide long non-coding RNA. RefSeq lists it as uncharacterized. The transcript has 3 exons. NCBI's taxonomy places the organism in Eukaryota, Metazoa, Arthropoda, Insecta, Hymenoptera, Megachilidae. The record is from RefSeq and is a predicted model, not a curated record.
UGGUGGCAGCGUAGGUGAUUGAAUUUCCAGGUUCGUGAAUUCCGUUAUUAUAAUUAUUACUAUUAUUAUUACUAUUGCUAUUAUUAUUAUGACUAUUAUGAUUAUUGAAAAAGAUAUUUUUUAAAGUUUUUUCUAGGUGUUUAGGUUUGUCAAUAACUUCUGCUGAUGAGAUGCAGUAACAGGAGGAGAAGAUAGAAAUUAAAAAGAGGAAGAAACUAUGCAUCAUCAGAGGGUGUAUUAACGAAAACAGCAGGAUGUUCUCCUUCCCCUUAGAGAGAAAGGAUAAGAAGAGGAUGGCACAGUGGGUGGAAGUAUGUGACAACCCAAAGAAAUUCUGAGUGAUCUGUAGUAGCUACUUUAAAGAAAAAUACUUCAUGAGGAAAAGAUUAACAACAUCAGCAGUUCCAACACUGAACUUACUUGUGUCAGAGACUACCUCUAUUAAAAUAGAGCAACAAGACAC